Molecule: transfer RNA, 60 nt
Filed under: Vibrio parahaemolyticus
Lineage: Bacteria; Pseudomonadati; Pseudomonadota; Gammaproteobacteria; Vibrionales; Vibrionaceae
Description: tRNA-Val
Rfam family: tRNA
About the family: Transfer RNA (tRNA) molecules are approximately 80 nucleotides in length. Their secondary structure includes four short double-helical elements and three loops (D, anti-codon, and T loops).
Source: RNAcentral
UUAGCUCAGUUGGGAGAGCGCUUCUCUUACAAAGAAGAGGUCACUGGUUCGAGACCAGUA